CGUUGCCUAGGACGUUCGCCAGUGCGGGAAAGUCCUUGAGCCGUUAUAUAAACGUCAGGAGUUGUCGACGCGUCUUCCGGUGUGCAUGUCCGGCGUGGUUCACACCCCCGGGAAGCCUUAUGGAUUCGCCCGCUUCUCCGCCCUGAUCCACAACGGUUCAGGGCAACUCGUGCAGCGGCGUCCCGGGUAACCU
This 193-nucleotide non-coding RNA is filed under the name Gammaproteobacteria bacterium. RNAcentral describes it as "6S RNA". It matches the Rfam family "6S / SsrS RNA". From Rfam's summary of the family: E. coli 6S RNA was the first non coding RNA to be sequenced, but its function was unknown until recently. It consists of 184 nucleotides that fold into an extended hairpin structure with a large single-stranded internal bulge. Lineage: Bacteria; Pseudomonadati; Pseudomonadota; Gammaproteobacteria. The record is from RNAcentral.